This 468-nucleotide ribosomal RNA is filed under the name uncultured bacterium. Its description in RNAcentral is "partial 16S ribosomal RNA". It matches the Rfam family "Bacterial small subunit ribosomal RNA", at positions 28 to 507 of the family's 1533-position model. The record is from RNAcentral.
GACGAACGCUGGCGGCGUGCUUAACACAUGCAAGUCGAACGGAAAGGCCCUGCUUUUGUGGGGUGCUCGAGUGGCGAACGGGUGAGUAACACGUGAGUAACCUGCCCUUGACUUUGGGAUAACUUCAGGAAACUGGGGCUAAUACCGGAUAGGAGCUCCUGCUGCAUGGUGGGGGUUGGAAAGUUUCGGCGGUUGGGGAUGGACUCGCGGCUUAUCAGCUUGUUGGUGGGGUAGUGGCUUACCAAGGCUUUGACGGGUAGCCGGCCUGAGAGGGUGACCGGCCACAUUGGGACUGAGAUACGGACCAGAAUCCUACGGGAGGCAGCAGUGGGGAAUAUUGCACAAUGGGCGGAAGCCUGAUGCAGCAACGCCGCGUGCGGGAUGACGGCCUUCGGGUUGUAAACAGCUUUCGCCUGUGACGAAGCGUGAGUGACGGUAAUGGGUAAAGAAGCACCGGCUAACUACGUG